RNAcentral lists this ribosomal RNA (468 nucleotides) under uncultured bacterium. RNAcentral's name for it is "partial 16S ribosomal RNA". It matches the Rfam family "Bacterial small subunit ribosomal RNA", at positions 28 to 507 of the family's 1533-position model. The record is from RNAcentral.
GGCGAACGCUGGCGGCGUGCUUAACACAUGCAAGUCGAACGGAAAGGCCCUGCUUUUGUGGGGUGCUCGAGUGGCGAACGGGUGAGUAACACGUGAGUAACCUGUCCUUGACUUUGGGAUAACUUCAGGAAACUGGGGCUAAUACCGGAUAGGAGCUCCUGCUGCAUGGUGGGGGUUGGAAAGUUUCGGCGGUUGGGGAUGGACUCGCGGCUUAUCAGCUUGUUGGUGGGGUAGUGGCUUACCAAGGCUUUGACGGGUAGCCGGCCUGAGAGGGUGACCGGCCACAUUGGGACUGAGAUACGGCCCAGACUCCUACGGGAGGCAGCAGUGGGGAAUAUUGCACAAUGGGCGGAAGCCUGAUGCAGCAACGCCGCGUGCGGGAUGACGGCCUUCGGGUUGUAAACCGCUUUCGCCUGUGACGAAGCGUGAGUGACGGUAAUGGGUAAAGAAGCACCGGCUAACUACGUG